CCUACGGGCGGCAGCAGUGGGGAAUAUUGGACAAUGGGGGGAACCCUGAUCCAGCCAUGCCGCGUGUGUGAAGAAGGCCCUCGGGUUGUAAAGCACUUUCAGUGAGGAAGAACGCCUGGUGGUUAAUACCCAUCAGGAAAGACAUCACUCACAGAAGAAGCACCGGCUAACUCCGUGCCAGCAGCCGCGGUAAUACGGAGGGUGCGAGCGUUAAUCGGAAUUACUGGGCGUAAAGCGCGCGUAGGUGGCUUGAUAAGCCGGUUGUGAAAGCCCCGGGCUCAACCUGGGAACGGCAUCCGGAACUGGCAAGCUAGAGUGCAGGAGAGGAAGGUAGAAUUCCCGGUGUAGCGGUGAAAUGCGUAGAGAUCGGGAGGAAUACCAGUGGCGAAGGCGGCCUUCUGGACUGACACUGACACUGAGGUGCGAAAGCGUGGGUAGCAAACAGGAUUAGAUACCCCAGUAGUC
RNAcentral lists this ribosomal RNA (465 nucleotides) under Vreelandella stevensii. RNAcentral describes it as "partial 16S ribosomal RNA". It matches the Rfam family "Bacterial small subunit ribosomal RNA", at positions 338 to 795 of the family's 1533-position model. Lineage: Bacteria; Pseudomonadati; Pseudomonadota; Gammaproteobacteria; Oceanospirillales; Halomonadaceae. The record is from RNAcentral.